AUCUUAAAAGGGACGGUAUUUUUUAAAAAAUAGUUUUCUAAAGAGAUUUUUUUUAAAAGAGUGAUUUCUUCUUUUUUAAAUAAAAAUGAGUGGUUAAGACAUAAAUACUCCUAAAACAUAUUUAUUAACUUAUAACAGAUGGUUUUCAAGGAAAUCCCAAUUGAGUUGGUGUCACUAAGUCCAGUGGCACCAUGAUUAGUUAGGGAAUUUUAUACAAGUCCAGUGACACCAAUACCACUUCAAAGUACAAUCUAAUGUUGUUCUCUAGUAUCUAGAGGUAAAGUACAAUCUAAUGUUGUUCUCUAGUAUCUAGAGGUAAACUUUUAUACAGGUAGUAGCACCAUUAAGGUAGAUGGAACGAUGGAAAUCCCAGGAAAUAGAGGGGAAGCUCUAUUCCUUGCCAUUCCCAUGCACAAUAUCUUCAAUUCAGGGUAACUUGAUGACCUCUCAAAGCAUGGAGGAGGUAUAAAGGGGACACCCCUUUAAUGUGAAAGAACGCCAAGAAGUCUAUUGUAUACAUUUAAUUAUUUAUUAUUUUAUUUACUUUAUAUAUCAAAACAAUACAAACAAUAAUGCUUUAU
RNAcentral lists this long non-coding RNA (581 nucleotides) under Gossypium barbadense (sea-island cotton). RNAcentral's name for it is "long non-coding RNA (GBAR_LNC002272)". The record is from RNAcentral. Lineage: Eukaryota; Viridiplantae; Streptophyta; Magnoliopsida; Malvales; Malvaceae.